Long non-coding RNA from Gossypium arboreum, 725 nucleotides. RefSeq lists it as uncharacterized. Lineage: Eukaryota; Viridiplantae; Streptophyta; Magnoliopsida; Malvales; Malvaceae. The transcript is spliced from 2 exons. The record is from RefSeq and is a predicted model, not a curated record.
GAAAGAAAAAAAAAAAAAGAGAAACACCUCUUCACCUUUUUCUUUGUGCCGUCCAUUACAGAGAAAAAUCCCUAAACAUCAUUCUUCAAUCUUUGGUCUUCACCACUCCAAAACUUAUUUUCUAUCAUCUUACAAACAUCAUACCUCUUUUAAAUAAAAGAAAAACACCAAAAAUACCAUCAAUUGUAUUGAUAUUCUCCAAGUGGGUUUUCUCGAAUUUCAAUCAAUCAUUUGACGUUUUCUUCAAUCGGAAUAAGUAGUGUUUUCAAUGUGAGCGGUGCAGCCAAGGAAGUGAUCCUAGAAAGGCAAUAAAGUUUUGAGUAGGUGGUUUUAUAAUUAUUUUAGAAUUAUGUUUGAUUAUUAUUUGUUUAUUAUGAUUUUGGACUUUGGAGUUUUGGUAUGGUUUGGAACUAUAUUUAUGAAUGUUUGAUGAUUGGUAAUGUGUCUAAUGAUGCAUGUUGAAAGGAAUAAUUGUUGAGCAUGAGUGUGUCCCCUGUUUUGCUAUAUUAUUAUUGAUUUGUAUAGAGGUACCGAUACUCGGGGCUUAAAUAUGGAUACCUUGAUGUUAAAAUGUACAUGCAAGAAAAUAGUAGCUUAAUUUGGUAUCUAUACAUGAGGUAAAAAUAUCGAUACCUAUGAUUAUGUAUCAAUCAAAUGUUUUUGGUUCCAAAAUGAGUUGGAAAAACAAAAUGUUAUAAUGGUAUCAAUUUUCUUAUUAGUAUUAA